RNAcentral lists this ribosomal RNA (661 nucleotides) under Priestia aryabhattai. RNAcentral's name for it is "bacterial SSU rRNA". It matches the Rfam family "Bacterial small subunit ribosomal RNA", at positions 56 to 699 of the family's 1533-position model. RNAcentral also lists the same sequence under 1 other name. The record is from RNAcentral. Lineage: Bacteria; Bacillati; Bacillota; Bacilli; Caryophanales; Bacillaceae.
UGCAGUCGAGCGAACUGAUUAGAAGCUUGCUUCUAUGACGUUAGCGGCGGACGGGUGAGUAACACGUGGGCAACCUGCCUGUAAGACUGGGAUAACUUCGGGAAACCGAAGCUAAUACCGGAUAGGAUCUUCUCCUUCAUGGGAGAUGAUUGAAAGAUGGUUUCGGCUAUCACUUACAGAUGGGCCCGCGGUGCAUUAGCUAGUUGGUGAGGUAACGGCUCACCAAGGCAACGAUGCAUAGCCGACCUGAGAGGGUGAUCGGCCACACUGGGACUGAGACACGGCCCAGACUCCUACGGGAGGCAGCAGUAGGGAAUCUUCCGCAAUGGACGAAAGUCUGACGGAGCAACGCCGCGUGAGUGAUGAAGGCUUUCGGGUCGUAAAACUCUGUUGUUAGGGAAGAACAAGUACGAGAGUAACUGCUCGUACCUUGACGGUACCUAACCAGAAAGCCACGGCUAACUACGUGCCAGCAGCCGCGGUAAUACGUAGGUGGCAAGCGUUAUCCGGAAUUAUUGGGCGUAAAGCGCGCGCAGGCGGUUUCUUAAGUCUGAUGUGAAAGCCCACGGCUCAACCGUGGAGGGUCAUUGGAAACUGGGGAACUUGAGUGCAGAAGAGAAAAGCGGAAUUCCACGUGUAGCGGUGAAAUGCGUAGAGAUGU